RNAcentral lists this ribosomal RNA (458 nucleotides) under uncultured bacterium. RNAcentral's name for it is "bacterial SSU rRNA". It matches the Rfam family "Bacterial small subunit ribosomal RNA", at positions 340 to 786 of the family's 1533-position model. The record is from RNAcentral.
UACGGAAGGCAGCAGUGGGGAAUAUUGCACAAUGGGCGAAAGCCUGAUGCAGCUAUGCCGCGUGUAUGAAGAAGGCCUUAGGGUUGUAAAGUACUUUCAUCGGGGAGGAAAAAACAAAACUAAUAAUUUUAUUUCUUGACGUUACCCGAAAAAGAAGCACCGGCUAACUCCGUGCCAGCAGCCGCGGUAAUACGGAGGGUGCUAGCGUUAAUCAGAAUUACUGGGCGUAAAGAGCACGUAGGUGGUUUUUUAAGUCAGAUGUGAAAUCCCUGGGCUUAACCUAGGAACUGCAUUUUGAAACUGAAAUACUAGAGUAUCGUAGAGGGAGGUAGAAUUCUAGGUGUAGCGGUGAAAUGCGUAGAUAUCUGGAGGAAUACCUGUGGCGAAAGCGGCCUCCUAAACGAAUACUGACACUGAGGGUGCGAAAAGCGUGGGGAGCAAAACAGGGAUUAGAUACC